RNAcentral lists this long non-coding RNA (647 nucleotides) under Ananas comosus (pineapple). RNAcentral describes it as "long non-coding RNA (ACOM_LNC019936)". Lineage: Eukaryota; Viridiplantae; Streptophyta; Magnoliopsida; Poales; Bromeliaceae. The record is from RNAcentral.
ACGUUUGCUAUUAAUAGCAUUCUAGCUCAACUAUAUAUAUAGAGAGAAAAAGAGAGAAUGAGAGAGAGAGAGAGAGAGAGAGAGAGAGAGAGUAGAGCUUCUGUGCUUUUAAAAGCACAGGAGCUCUUGUGCUUGGGAUUUUUGCACCAUUGGAUUGGCUUCGCCUCGAGAUUCGUGCGCAGUUAAUGUGUCACGCCCCGGGGUCCCUUUUUGGUUUAAAAGUAAAGGGGAAGUGCCCAAAAUUUUUUUUUUUGAAAACCUGACCCCCAGGGUAUGUCAGAUCCGCCACAAAUACAGGAAUUCCACUGUUCACAAGAACAGAGUCUCCCCUGUAUUUGCACGGCGUCGCACAAGUACAAGAUACAUAAACAGGAUACAACUACCACAACUGAAUAUACAAAUAUUUAUACAUUCAUACAUUCAUACACCAUUCACAUUCAGAUUCACAUUCAGAGUUUAACAUAAAUCCACAACUAUUAGUUUAAAAUGUUUCCUACCCGGAAACUUGUUUUGAAAUACCAAGUCAUGAAAACCACAAGAAAACUCUUUUAAAAACCGUUUUCCACACAGAAACUUUUUCUUUUUAAAACUCGCUACCACGAGGGGUAGAAAACCAUUUUCAUUUCACGAAAAUUCACAAAUCCUUU